RNAcentral lists this ribosomal RNA (465 nucleotides) under uncultured bacterium. RNAcentral's name for it is "partial 16S ribosomal RNA". It matches the Rfam family "Bacterial small subunit ribosomal RNA", at positions 338 to 795 of the family's 1533-position model. The record is from RNAcentral.
CCUACGGGUGGCAGCAGUGGGGAAUAUUGCGCAAUGGGCGAAAGCCUGACGCAGCGACGCCGCGUGAGGGAUGAAGGUCUUCGGAUCGUAAACCUCUGUCAGCAGGGAAGAACGGUCACUGUGCUAAUCAGCAGUGAAUUGACGGUACCUGCAAAGGAAGCACCGGCUAACUCCGUGCCAGCAGCCGCGGUAAUACGUAGGGUGCGAGCGUUAAUCGGAAUUACUGGGCGUAAAGCGCUCGUAGGCGGUAUGUCAAGUCAAGGGUGAAAUCCCCGCGCUCAACGUGGGAACUGCCUUUGAAACUGGCAAACUGGAGUGUGUGAGAGGAUAGUGGAAUUCCAGGUGUAGGAGUGAAAUGCGUAGAUAUCUGGAGGAACAUCAGUGGCGAAGGCGACUAUCUGGCACAUAACUGACGCUGAGGAGCGAAAGCGUGGGUAGCAAACAGGAUUAGAUACCCGGGUAGUC